Molecule: transfer RNA, 86 nt
Filed under: Pelagovum pacificum
Lineage: Bacteria; Pseudomonadati; Pseudomonadota; Alphaproteobacteria; Rhodobacterales; Paracoccaceae
Description: Rhodobacteraceae bacterium SM1903 tRNA-Leu
Rfam family: tRNA
About the family: Transfer RNA (tRNA) molecules are approximately 80 nucleotides in length. Their secondary structure includes four short double-helical elements and three loops (D, anti-codon, and T loops).
Source: RNAcentral
GCCGGUGUGGCGGAAUGGUAGACGCAGGGGAUUCAAAAUCCCCCGACCGCAAGGUCAUGUCGGUUCGAGUCCGACCACCGGUACCA